This 786-nucleotide ribosomal RNA is filed under the name Placamen isabellina. RNAcentral's name for it is "partial large subunit ribosomal RNA". It matches the Rfam family "Eukaryotic large subunit ribosomal RNA", at positions 48 to 664 of the family's 3401-position model. Lineage: Eukaryota; Metazoa; Mollusca; Bivalvia; Venerida; Veneridae. The record is from RNAcentral.
GACCGGUAGGAGAACUAACCAGGAUUCCCUUAGUAACGGCGAGUGAAGCGGGAAGAGCCCAGCACCGAAUCUCCCGGCCAUUGGGCGGCGAGAAAUGUGGUGUAUAGGCGGCCGAUUGUCGCCGGCGUCGAGCGCUCAAGUCCUCCUGAUUGUGGCCUUACCCAGAGCGGGUGUCAGGCCCUUUCGGCGCGAGACCCGGUGGCUUCGAGCCUCCUUGGAGUCGGGUUGUUUGGGAAUGCAGCCCAAAGCGGGUGGUAAACUCCACCUAAGGCUAAAUACUGGCACGAGUCCGAUAGCGGACAAGUACCGUGAGGGAAAGUUGAAAAGCACUUUGAAGAGAGAGUUCAAGAGUACGUGAAACCGCAUAGAGUCAAACGGGUGGAUCCGCAAAGUCGACCCGGGGAAUUCAGCUCGGCCGCCUGCGGCCCGUCGGGAGCCGGGGAUCCUUUAACGGGACCCCGUCCUGGCGGCGCUCGUGGAUGGCCGGGUGCACUUUCUCCGCCGUCGAGUGCCACGACCGAUUCUGCGGCGGUGAUAAGCCCGGCGGCAAGGUAGCUCAGCUCUUCGGGGCGGAGUGUUAUAGGCCGUCGAGGUGGACACGUCGCGGGAUCGAGGACGCUUGCCGCGUCAGCCGGCCUCGGGCCGUUCUGGGGUUCUCGACCUCGGACGCACUGCUCUGCAGGGCGCCGUAACCGCACUCCGGACACGGGUCCGUCCGCCGUCGACGCUUCGGGUCAGUGGCGAAUCGGUCGGUCCUCCACCCGACCCGUCUGAAAAACACGGAAA